Molecule: ribosomal RNA, 425 nt
Filed under: uncultured bacterium
Lineage: Bacteria
Description: partial 16S ribosomal RNA
Rfam family: Bacterial small subunit ribosomal RNA
Source: RNAcentral
GUGGGGAAUAUUGGACAAUGGGCGCAAGCCUGAUCCAGCCAUGCCGCGUGAGUGAUGAAGGCCUUAGGGUUGUAAAGCUCUUUCAGUGGGGACGAUAAUGACGGUACCCACAGAAGAAACCCCGGCUAACUUCGUGCCAGCAGCCGCGGUAAUACGAAGGGGGCUAGCGUUGUUCGGAUUUACUGGGCGUAAAGCGCACGUAGGCGGAUCGUUAAGUCGGGGGUGAAAUCCUGGAGCUCAACUCCAGAACUGCCUUCGAUACUGGCGAUCUUGAGUCCGGAAGAGGUGAGUGGAACUCCUAGUGUAGAGAUGGAAUUCGUAGAUAUUAGGAAGAACACCAGUGGCGAAGGCGGCUCACUGGUCCGGUACUGACGCUGAGGUGCGAAAGCGUGGGGAGCAAACAGGAUUAGAUACCCGUGUAGUCC